UAGGGAAUCUUCCACAAUGGGCGAAAGCCUGAUGGAGCAACGCCGCGUGAGUGAAGAAGGGUUUCGGCUCGUAAAACUCUGUUGUUAAAGAAGAACAUAUCUGAGAGUAACUGUUCAGGUAUUGACGGUAUUUAACCGGAAAGCCACGGCUAACUACGUGCCAG
RNAcentral lists this ribosomal RNA (164 nucleotides) under uncultured bacterium. Its description in RNAcentral is "partial 16S ribosomal RNA". It matches the Rfam family "Bacterial small subunit ribosomal RNA", at positions 355 to 511 of the family's 1533-position model. The record is from RNAcentral.